RNAcentral lists this ribosomal RNA (445 nucleotides) under uncultured bacterium. RNAcentral describes it as "partial 16S ribosomal RNA". It matches the Rfam family "Bacterial small subunit ribosomal RNA", at positions 354 to 796 of the family's 1533-position model. The record is from RNAcentral.
GUGAGGAAUAUUGGACAAUGGAUGGAAAUCUGAUCCAGCCAUGCCGCGUGCAGGAAGACGGCCCUAUGGGUUGUAAACUGCUUUUAUACGGGAGCAAUAAGGUCUAUGCAUAGAUUGAUGAGAGUACCGUAUGAAUAAGCAUCGGCUAACUCCGUGCCAGCAGCCGCGGUAAUACGGAGGAUGCGAGCGUUAUCCGGAUUUAUUGGGUUUAAAGGGUGCGUAGGCGGCUUUGUAAGUCAGCGGUGAAAUUUUGCAGCUUAACUGUAAAAGCGCCGUUGAUACUGUGCAGCUAGGAUUUGGUUGCUGUGGGCGGAAUGUGUGGUGUAGCGGUGAAAUGCAUAGAGAUCACACAGAAUAUCGAUUGCGAAGGCAGCUCACAAAGCCAAUAUUGACGCUGAGGCACGAAAGUGUGGGGAUCAAACAGGAUUAGAUACCCGAGUAGUCC